ACAUGAAGCUGGAGUUACUAGUAAUCGCAGAUCAGAAUGCUGCGGUGAAUGCGUUCCCGGGUCUUGUACACACCGCCCGUCACACCACGGGAGUUGGAGACGCCCGAAGCCGAUUAUCUAACCUGUUGGAAGAAGUCGUCGAAGGUGGAAUCAAUAACUGGGGUGAAGUCGUAACAAGGUAGCCGUAUCGGAAGGUGCGGCUGGAUCACCUCCUUUCUAAGGAGA
Molecule: ribosomal RNA, 225 nt
Filed under: Clostridioides difficile
Lineage: Bacteria; Bacillati; Bacillota; Clostridia; Peptostreptococcales; Peptostreptococcaceae
Description: partial 16S ribosomal RNA
Rfam family: Bacterial small subunit ribosomal RNA
Source: RNAcentral